This 281-nucleotide unclassified non-coding RNA is filed under the name uncultured fungus. Its description in RNAcentral is "partial contains small subunit ribosomal RNA, internal transcribed spacer 1, and 5.8S ribosomal RNA". The stretch from base 1 to 73 matches the Rfam family "Eukaryotic small subunit ribosomal RNA", at positions 1759 to 1831 of the family's 1831-position model. The record is from RNAcentral. Lineage: Eukaryota; Fungi.
ACAAACUUGGUCAUUUAGAGGAAGUACAAGUCGUAACAAGGUUUCCGUAGGUGAACCUGCGGAAGGAUCAUUAACAAAUCUGAGGGUUGUGUUGAUUUGCUGAUCGAUAACGUAUUGACAUCAAAUCAACACACCUAACACAUUUGUGCUCCAGAAUCUUCUGGUUGCAUCAUAUCAUAUUCAUGAUAGUAUUUGUAUUAUUGUCAUUUUUUUUUAUUUUCAAUAUAUAAUACACUUUUAACAAUGGAUCUCUUGGCUCUUGCAUCGAUGAAGAACGCAGC